This 1329-nucleotide small RNA is filed under the name Pan troglodytes (chimpanzee). RNAcentral's name for it is "retained intron". Lineage: Eukaryota; Metazoa; Chordata; Mammalia; Primates; Hominidae. The record is from RNAcentral.
GGGACAUUUAAAAUCUCACCACACUUGACACCAUUCACAAGUAGCCAUGUGGCUCAGUCUCCUGAGUGCUCCUGCAGAGUGCAGCUCUGCCAGGCUUUUCUCUAGAUAAUCUCGUGUGUGUUACUGUAGCAGUUUGAGUUUAAACACAAGAGUUCACUCGGUUAACAUGUUCUAACCAGCAAGAUUUCUGUUGUUUGCAGGUGCCGUGAGCGAUGUGGAGAUGCAGGAACACUAUGAUGAGUUUUUUGAGGUGAGAGAAUUGAACUCUGUGACUGAUAGACCUGUUGAUCUUCUGUAUCUGUUUGGAAGGAUUUAAAAUGUUUCUCUGCUAAUAAACAUACAUGAGUUAUAUCUAAUGACACUUUGUAAUGUAUAACGAGUCUUAAACCACUGUGGUCUCCCUUCAGGAGGUUUUUACAGAAAUGGAGGAGAAGUAUGGGGAAGUAGAGGAGAUGAACGUCUGUGACAACCUGGGAGACCACCUGGUGGGGAACGUGUACGUCAAGGUAGGAGCCAGGGCGAGACGGCGGCGUGGCCGCUUAGUGUGCCGGGGCCAAGGCCGACAGAGGAUGGGGUGCCUGCCGCCGUGCACCUUGAGAUCGUGGAUGCUCAGGUGCACAGCAGGGUCGGGUGCACUGGCUCGGCGCCUACCGGCUGCGUCAUAUGUGGCGGUGGCCAGCCCGCACGUGCGCCCAGCCAGCAGAACUGAAGGACGGACCGUACACCACAGCCUCGUUAUUUCAGUGUAGAAUAUUUAGUACCUGUUGGUUAGAAGCUGUGUGGACUAAGGAAAAGUUAGGUUUACUCACAUGUUUGGUUUCUUUUUUUUUUUUUUAGUGAAUAAAACUUUAUUUGCCUACACAGCCAUAUUUGCUCCUUUAACCAGUUGAAUUUGAAAAAUGAAAGCAACAUUUGGCAAAAUCUUGGACUAUCUUGAAGUUAAUCUCAUUGAAAAUUAAAGGAUUUUUCAAUUAUCCUGUAAUACUGUUCCACCUUACUAUACCUGAGUGUGUAUAUCUCUCUCUGAUACAUACUUGGAUUGGUAAUUGAGAAAGUCUUAUUAAAGCGUGGAUGGCAAGCACUUCUGUUUUUGUCUUUUCAGUUUCGCCGUGAGGAAGAUGCGGAAAAGGCUGUGAUUGACUUGAAUAACCGUUGGUUUAAUGGACAGCCGAUCCACGCCGAGCUGUCACCCGUGACGGACUUCAGAGAAGCCUGCUGCCGUCAGUAUGAGAUGGGAGAAUGCACACGAGGCGGCUUCUGCAACUUCAUGCAUUUGAAGCCCAUUUCCAGAGAGCUGCGGCGGGAGCUGUAUGGGCGCCGUCGCAAGAA